GUGCCAGCAGCCGCGGUAAUACGUAGGGGGCUAGCGUUGUCCGGAAUCAUUGGGCGUAAAGCGCGUGUAGGCGGCUUGCCAAGUCCGAUGUGAAAGCUCGGGGCUUAACCCCGAGUCUGCAUUGGAAACUGGCUUGCUUGAGUCCGGAAGAGGAGACUGGAAUUCCUGGUGUAGCGGUGAAAUGCGCAGAUAUCAGGAAGAACACCGGUGGCGAAGGCGGGUCUCUGGGACGGUACUGACGCUGAGACGCGAAAGCGUGGGGAGCAAACAGGAUUAGAAACCCCGGUAGUCC
Molecule: ribosomal RNA, 292 nt
Filed under: uncultured bacterium
Lineage: Bacteria
Description: partial 16S ribosomal RNA
Rfam family: Bacterial small subunit ribosomal RNA
Source: RNAcentral